CGGACGGGUGGAGUAACGCGUGGGGAACCGUGCCCUGUACAGGGGGAGUAACACUUAGAAAUAAGGUGCUAAUACCGCAUAAGCGCACAGUAUCGCAUGAUACAGUGUGAAAAACUACCGGUGGUACAAGAUGGACCCGCGUCUGAUUAGCUGGUUGGCGGGGUAACGGCCCACCAAGGCGACGAUCAGUAGCCGGCCUGAGAGGGUGAACGGCCACAUUGGGACUGAGACACGGCCCAAACUCCUACGGAAGGCAGCAG
RNAcentral lists this ribosomal RNA (260 nucleotides) under uncultured bacterium. RNAcentral describes it as "partial 16S ribosomal RNA". It matches the Rfam family "Bacterial small subunit ribosomal RNA", at positions 99 to 354 of the family's 1533-position model. The record is from RNAcentral.